This 337-nucleotide long non-coding RNA is filed under the name Anas platyrhynchos platyrhynchos (common mallard). Its description in RNAcentral is "lncRNA (ENSAPLG00000024815.1)". The record is from RNAcentral. Lineage: Eukaryota; Metazoa; Chordata; Aves; Anseriformes; Anatidae.
GAUGAUCUUUCUUAAUCAGUCUCUAAUGUCUUCCUUCCAAUUUCUUGCAUUGUAAUGAUCUUGUUGCACUGGAUCUCUAAUUCCAGAGUGAUCUCUCAAAAGCCUUUGAUGGAGGCGCUAGGAACCUGAGAGCAGUGACUUGCUUUGAAGUGGCUGGGUGAUGGUCUCAGAGGGACAUAGAAUAGGGGCAGAAGUAACUGGGCUAAGCUGGCUUCCGGGACAGAGGAAGGUAAUCAGUAUACAGAUGUUUCAUCAAAAAACACUGAAUGCUGUACACUGACCAUAUGCUUCUGCAACUGUGCUCCUAAGGGUCCCUGAUUUAGAAUAAGCACUCCUG